UACGUAGGUGGCAAGCGUUAUCCGGAUUUAUUGGGUUUAAAGGGUGCGUAGGCGGGAUGCCAAGUCAGCGGUAAAAAUGCGGUGCUCAACGCCGUCGAGCCGUUGAAACUGGCGUUCUUGAGUGGGCGAGAAGUAUGCGGAAUGCGUGGUGUAGCGGUGAAAUGCAUAGAUAUCACGCAGAACUCCGAUUGCGAAGGCAGCAUACCGGCGCCCUACUGACGCUGAGGCACGAAAGCGUGGGUAGCAAACAGG
This 252-nucleotide ribosomal RNA is filed under the name uncultured bacterium. Its description in RNAcentral is "partial 16S ribosomal RNA". It matches the Rfam family "Bacterial small subunit ribosomal RNA", at positions 524 to 776 of the family's 1533-position model. The record is from RNAcentral.